GAUGAACGCUGGCGGCGUGCCUAAUACAUGCAAGUCGAACGCAUUGAGAGAAGUGCUUGCACUUUUCAAUUUGAGUGGCGAACGGGUGAGUAACACGUGGGCAACCUACCUGAUAGCGGGGGAUAACGAGUGGAAACAUUCGCUAAUACCGCAUAACAAUAGAGAAGGCAUCUUCUUUAUUUAAAAGGCGCUUUCAAGCGUCACUAUCAGAUGGGCCCGCGGUGGAUUAGUAAGUUGGUGGGGUGAAGGCCAACCAAGACGAUGAUGCAUAGCCGGUUUGAGAGACUGGUCGGACACAUUGGGACUGAGACACGGCCCAAACGCCUACGGGAGGCUGCAGUAGGGAAUCUUCCACAAUGGACGAAAGUCUGAUGGAGCAACGCCGCGUGUGUGAUGAAGGCUUUCGGGUCGUAGAGCACUGUUGUAUGGGAAGAAAUGCUAGGCUAGGAAAUGAGCUUAGUUUGACGGUACCAUACCAGAAAGGGACGGCUAAAUACGUGCCAGCCGCCGCCGUAA
This 516-nucleotide ribosomal RNA is filed under the name uncultured bacterium. Its description in RNAcentral is "partial 16S ribosomal RNA". It matches the Rfam family "Bacterial small subunit ribosomal RNA", at positions 28 to 523 of the family's 1533-position model. The record is from RNAcentral.